This is a non-coding RNA of Xyrichtys novacula (pearly razorfish), 1071 nucleotides long. The record is from the annotation of a GenBank genome assembly. Lineage: Eukaryota; Metazoa; Chordata; Actinopteri; Labriformes; Labridae.
UAAUUUAUAAAUACUUUAAUUAUUAUUCAUAUUACCAGUCACUCUAUCUUUACCAUGUAUGCUUUAAGGUCAGUCACAGAAUCAACAGGCUUGAAGGUUCACAUGCACAUGAAGGUUCUUCAUGUGCAGGUGUUUGUCAAAGAUACAAAACACAAAGAAAAAAACAAACACACAAACAAACUAACAAACUGAUACUGCGUGUUUUUAUAUAUAUUUUUUUUAUUACAGCGCGUGGGAGACAGAAACGGCUGUUAAAGUUGACUUACAGACACGUCAUCACUUGGACGUGCAAUUACGUGUCCCUGGAGCAAAGAUACAGAAUUAUCUCGGUCACUUUUCUGUCUUUCCAUUUGUUUGCAUCUCUCCUUCGUCCGUAGUGGGGUAAGUUGAACCCGAAGUAUAUAUAUAUACAUAAACGCACGUGCGCGCUCCGUAUGAUAUUGUUCCUGUAGGGGUCGCUGUGUCCUCGUUGUCCAACAGCAGCAGCAGCAGCAGGUGGAGUGGAGCAGGGACAGAGUGUUGAUCAGCAGCGGUCAGACUGGGAUUUCUUCUUCCGCUCGGCUUCACUUUCAGCGCUUUCUCUUCUGGAAAUUAUCCGCUGGAGACGGAGCUUCGUCGGGAAGAGCGCGGAGCUUUUCCAGCCGAUCAAAGGACACCAUGCUUUACUUCUGGAUACACACCGUGUGGAUCCCCGGCGUCGCUUUCCUCGUUGGAUUUCAAGGCAAGGGAUGGUUUGAUUCUUUUCAUUUCAUGUGCUGACAUGGUUUUCUACUAGGAAACAGUGGAGAUGAGAGAGCAGUGACAACUGCCCACAGUGGAUGUUUCUUGUGCUUCUGUCCGUCUGCUGCUGACUCGAGUUCUGAAGGUAUGUGAAGUGACUUCCUUCCCUGACAGACACAGAGAGAGAGACUCAGACAUAUCUUCCUACUCUUCCUCAUGCUGACUUUCAGCUGUUGGCAGAUCCAGCAAAGCUCUGUUUGCUCUGUUUAAAGUAGUUCAUGAUCUGAUCUGAAAGCAGUCUUUGGCUGAAUCUCGGUUUCCUUCCUAAACCCUAAACUCUGGUUGAGUGAA